Long non-coding RNA from Lactuca sativa (garden lettuce), 785 nucleotides. RefSeq lists it as uncharacterized. Lineage: Eukaryota; Viridiplantae; Streptophyta; Magnoliopsida; Asterales; Asteraceae. The record is from RefSeq and is a predicted model, not a curated record.
UCUCAUGGAGGGACCAUUUUUGAUUAAUGGCCCAAACUUAAACUAAUUUAGGGCUUUUACGCCCCAUCUUUUGUUCGAUCAGUCAUACAGAUGAAAAAAAACGAACGGAUUACGAAGGGACGGAGCAGAUGAACGAAGGCUUGCAGCGAGGAAGAAGGAGCACGAAGGCUUGCAACGGAUAAUCCGGAUCCCUUGGCUGAUCGCAAGAGGGAGGCGAUACCAGGUCGACGAGGCCGAAGAACGACGAGGGGAAGAAGCAGCGAAGCUGCUGUGAAGUUGGCGAAAGGGAGUGGAAAUCGAGGUGGAAGAGAACGAUGCGAAGGGAUGUGCGAGGGACAAAGGAGGUCCCGAGGGGUCCGAUCGGCAGACAUACGUCGCAGGUGGUUGCUUCGGUGGUUUAGUUGUGGCAGACCCGUCAAGAGCGGAAGCAGCCGACGAUCCUCCUAGGCCUUCUUGAAUCUGUCUCUAACUGUAAACGUAGGGGAAGGGGGACGGACGGAGGUAGAGUCAGGAUGGCAGGUGAUGGUUGGUUUGGUGGAUCGGAAGAGGGUUGUUGCCCUCAUGGUGUGCUCCUACCAGCAUCUGAGAGAGUGUUAGGGAUUUUUGGUUGUCCUUUACGGUGUCCAAAUUUCUCCUCCACGAUACAAUGAUCAGAUUUGAUUUUGACGGUGUUGGAGUAUUUGUUGAUCUAUUAUCAGAUUUUGGAAAAAAAUAAAAAAAACUUUGGAGUGUUGAUUGUACUUUAAUAAUUUUGGAAGGAUUUUUGGUUAUAAGUUUUGGUUAAA